GGGCGUGUAGCUCAGUUGGUAGAGCGCUUAGCUUAUACCUAAGUGGCCCUUGGUUCGAAUCCAAGCACGCCCA
RNAcentral lists this transfer RNA (73 nucleotides) under Candidatus Nomurabacteria bacterium RIFCSPHIGHO2_01_FULL_42_15. Its description in RNAcentral is "tRNA-Ile". It matches the Rfam family "tRNA". From Rfam's summary of the family: Transfer RNA (tRNA) molecules are approximately 80 nucleotides in length. Lineage: Bacteria; Candidatus Nomuraibacteriota. The record is from RNAcentral. RNAcentral also lists the same sequence under 1 other name.